RNAcentral lists this ribosomal RNA (369 nucleotides) under uncultured bacterium. RNAcentral describes it as "bacterial SSU rRNA". It matches the Rfam family "Bacterial small subunit ribosomal RNA", at positions 92 to 478 of the family's 1533-position model. The record is from RNAcentral.
AAAGCGGCGGACGGGUGAUUAACGCGUGGGUAACCUACCCCAUACACAGGGAUAGCCAUUGGAAACGGUGAUUAAUACCUGAUAACACAUAAUGGUCGCAUGACUAUGAUGUCAAAGAUUUAUCGGUAUGGGAUGGACCCGCGUCUGAUUAGCUAGUUGGUGAGGUAAAACCUUACCAAGGCGACGAUCAGUAGCCGACCUGACAGGGUGAUCGGCCACACUGGAACUGAGACACGGUUCAGACUCCUACGGGAGGCAGCAGUGGGGAAUAUUGCACAAUGGGCGCAACCCUGAUGCAGCAACGCCGCGUGAGCGAAGAAGGUCUUCGGAUCGUAAAGCUCUUUUCUUAGGGAAGAAAAAUGACGGUAC